RNAcentral lists this ribosomal RNA (417 nucleotides) under uncultured bacterium. RNAcentral's name for it is "bacterial SSU rRNA". It matches the Rfam family "Bacterial small subunit ribosomal RNA", at positions 360 to 774 of the family's 1533-position model. The record is from RNAcentral.
AAUAUUGGUCAAUGGGGGCAACCCUGAACCAGCCAAGUCGCGUGAAGGAUGAAGGUCUUAUGGAUUGUAAACUUCUUUUACACGGGAAUAAAGUGGGGGACGUGUCCCCCUUUGCAUGUACCGUGUGAAUAAGGAUCGGCUAACUCCGUGCCAGCAGCCGCGGUAAUACGGAGGAUCCGAGCGUUAUCCGGAUUUAUUGGGUUUAAAGGGUGCGCAGGCGGGAUGUUAAGUCGGCGGUGAAAUUUUGCAGCUCAACUGUAAAAGUGCCUUCGAUACUGGCCUCCUUGAGUGUGGAUGAAGUAGGCGGAAUUUGUGGUGUAGCGGUGAAAUGCUUAGAUAUCACGAGGAACUCCGAUUGCGCAGGCAGCUUACUAAGCCACAACUGACGCUCAUGCACGAAGGCGUGGGGAUCAAACA